Long non-coding RNA from Labrus mixtus (cuckoo wrasse), 875 nucleotides. RefSeq lists it as uncharacterized. The record is from RefSeq and is a predicted model, not a curated record. NCBI's taxonomy places the organism in Eukaryota, Metazoa, Chordata, Actinopteri, Labriformes, Labridae. The transcript is spliced from 3 exons.
GCUGAAAUUGCUUUCCUGACUGAGUACUGCACUGUGAUAAAGCCUUUGGUGAAGGCUUUAAACAUUCUUCAGUCUGAGACCAACACACACUUGGGGUGGCUUUGCCAGUGAUCUUACAGCUACAAGCAAAACUCAGCAGACAGGAGACAUCCUCCAAGAUGUGUCUGCCCCUCAUCAAAGCCAUUCAGAUUGGUGUCCAAAAGCUUUGGUGGGAUGACGGAAGACCCUGAAGUGAUUGCUGCAGCAAUCCUUCUGCCAAAAUUCAAGACCACCUGGACUGAGAGUGCUGAUGCCAUAGAAGCAGGUCUGGGCUAUGUGAGACAACACCUUGACCAGAUGGCAGAGGCUGGGCAACAUUUUUUUUUACACCUAGCUUGUGUCUCAAACAAUAUGGAUCUGCUGAACUAAUUUCCGCAAAUCAAAAAACUUUCUCUCAAGCUCAACACUGGAUUGCCUGCCUCAGCCGCCUGUGAGCGUCUCUUCAGCUGUGCUGGACUCCUAUUCACUGCAAAGCGAGCAAGGAUGAGCUCUACUAACUUUGAAAACCAGCUUCUGCUCAAACUAAACAGGAAGUUUAGUGAGUAAUGUUCAAAAGAAGAAACCACAAAUAUAGGACCUUUAAUUAAGAGAUACAGUGAGGCAGGGCAAUUUUCUUUGUAGCAGCUGCCACGUGGUUCAUUUGACAUAUUUUGUUUUUCGACAGGAAGAGAAUAUUCUGUCAUGUGUUGACAUGUUUUAUAUCGUUAAUACACUUUAUUUGUAAAGAUUUCCCUUAAUUAAAAACAACUUUGAGAUUUAAAUCCUCUCGUCCUUAUUGCACUUCACAGGAGAGAUCCGUUGUUAAAAAAAAAAGUAACUAAGCAACUUUUACUUAA